This 509-nucleotide ribosomal RNA is filed under the name Hypocreales sp. MS108. RNAcentral describes it as "eukaryotic LSU rRNA". The stretch from base 157 to 310 matches the Rfam family "5.8S ribosomal RNA". The record is from RNAcentral. Lineage: Eukaryota; Fungi; Ascomycota; Sordariomycetes; Hypocreales.
CAACUCCCAAACCCCUGUGAACAUACCACAACGUUGCCUCGGCGGGACCGCCCCGGCGCCCUCGGCGGCCCGGAACCAGGCGCCCGCCGGAGGACCCAAACUCUUGCUUUGAACAGUGGCAUACUCUCUGAGUCUCACAAACAAAAAAUGAAUCAAAACUUUCAACAACGGAUCUCUUGGCUCUGGCAUCGAUGAAGAACGCAGCGAAAUGCGAUAAGUAAUGUGAAUUGCAGAAUUCAGUGAAUCAUCGAAUCUUUGAACGCACAUUGCGCCCGCCAGCAUUCUGGCGGGCAUGCCUGUCCGAGCGUCAUUUCAACCCUCAGGGAGCCCCCUCGCGGGAGGACCUGGUGUUGGGGGCCGGCCGCCCGCGCCGCCCCCGAAAUGCAGUGGCGACCUCGCCGCAGCCUCCCCUGCGUAGUAGCACAACCUCGCACCGGAGCGCGGAGACGGUCACGCCGUAAAACGCCCAACUUUCAAGAGUUGACCUCGGAUCAGGUAGGAAUACCCGC